RNAcentral lists this ribosomal RNA (492 nucleotides) under uncultured bacterium. RNAcentral describes it as "partial 16S ribosomal RNA". It matches the Rfam family "Bacterial small subunit ribosomal RNA", at positions 30 to 507 of the family's 1533-position model. The record is from RNAcentral.
AUUGAACGCUGGCGGCAUGCUUUACACAUGCAAGUCGAACGGUAACAGGCCUUCGGGUGCUGACGAGUGGCGAACGGGUGAGUAAUGCAUCGGAACGUACCCAGAGGUGGGGGAUAACGCAGCGAAAGCUGUGCUAAUACCGCAUGUGAUCUGAGGAUGAAAGCGGGGGACCGAGCAGCAAUGUUUGGCCUCGCGCCUUUGGAGCGGCCGAUGUCGGAUUAGCUAGUUGGUGGGGUAAAGGCCUACCAAGGCGACGAUCCGUAGCUGGUCUGUGAGGACGACCAGCCACACUGGGACUGAGACACGGCCCAGACUCCUACGGGAGGCAGCAGUGGGGAAUUUUGGACAAUGGGCGCAAGCCUGAUCCAGCAAUGCCGCGUGCGGGAAGAAGGCCUUCGGGUUGUAAACCGCUUUUGGCAGGAACGAAACGGUGUCCGCUAAUACCGGGCGCUAAUGACGGUACCUGCAGAAUAAGCACCGGCUAACUACGUG